CAGGAGGUGGAGCAGUGUCGUGGCCGUCACUGCGGCCUGCCAGGGGGCCUAGGCCUGUCGGCCGAAGUUCGACUGGAGUGUCUGGCGGGGAGAGGUGGCUAGCCACCCGUCUGAGAGGAGCUCAGAGUCCGGCUCCCGUAGGAGUCCGGAUGGGGUCUACUUGCAGUCGGAGUUGGGGACGAGGCCUGGUUCCCGUAGGAGUCCGG
RNAcentral lists this long non-coding RNA (206 nucleotides) under Elaeis guineensis (African oil palm). Its description in RNAcentral is "long non-coding RNA (EGUI_LNC079726)". The record is from RNAcentral. Lineage: Eukaryota; Viridiplantae; Streptophyta; Magnoliopsida; Arecales; Arecaceae.